UACAGAGGUCCCAAGCGUUGUUCGGAUUUACUGGGCGUAAAGGGUGCGUAGGUGGUGGGGUAAGUCUGAUGUGAAAUCUCCGGGCUCAACUCGGAAAUGGCAUUGGAAACUACCUUGCUAGAGGGUUGGAGGGGGGACUGGAAUGCUCGGUGUAGCAGUGAAAUGCGUAGAUAUCGAGCGGAACACCAGUGGCGAAGGCGAGUCCCUGGACAACUCCUGACACUGAGGCACGAAAGCUAGGGGAGCAAACAGG
RNAcentral lists this ribosomal RNA (253 nucleotides) under uncultured bacterium. RNAcentral's name for it is "partial 16S ribosomal RNA". It matches the Rfam family "Bacterial small subunit ribosomal RNA", at positions 524 to 776 of the family's 1533-position model. The record is from RNAcentral.